GAUGAACGCUGGCGGCGUGCCUAAUACAUGCAAGUCGAGCGAACAGACGAUGAUCUUGCUCCUCUUACGUUAGCGGCGGACGGGUGAGUAACACGUGUAUAACCUACCUUUAAUACUGGUAUAACUUCGGGAAACCGGAUCUAAUACCGGAUAAUCUAUUUAACCGCAUGGUUCAUUAGUUAAUGUCGGUUUUUCUUUCUCUUUUAGAUGGUUCCUCUCCGCAUUAGCUAGUUGUUAAGGUAACGGCUUACCAAGGCAACGAUGCGUAGCCGACCUGAGAGGGUGAUCGGCCACACGGGAACGAAGACACGGACAAGAGUACUACGGGAGGCAGCAGUAGGGAAUCGUGCGCAAUGGGGGAAAGCCUGACGGAGCAACGCCGAGUGAGUGAUGAAGGUCUUCGGAUCGUAAAACUCUGUUAUUAGGGAAGAACAAAUGUGUAAGUAAAUAUGCACGUAUUGACGGUACCUAAUCAGAAAGCAACGGCUAACUACGUG
RNAcentral lists this ribosomal RNA (497 nucleotides) under uncultured bacterium. RNAcentral describes it as "partial 16S ribosomal RNA". It matches the Rfam family "Bacterial small subunit ribosomal RNA", at positions 28 to 507 of the family's 1533-position model. The record is from RNAcentral.